AGCCACAUUAGUAGUGUUUUCGUGGACGACCAAAACUAAACUUACAUGCAUCAUGAAUGUGUAAAGACUAAAACUUUUAACUUAUAAUUUUUCCAUAUAUAAAAAAAAAGACCAAUUCUAGGGUGGACGACCAUGAUAGGUGAUUCAUUUUUUACCAUGAUUCCUGACCAUUAGAUUAAUCUUAGUAUGAUAGGUCAUUCCACACCAAAUCCCCCACCCCCUCCAAGUAACCGUCGUUUGUCACCGUCGAAGGCGAUUUCCGGCGAUGGCGGCAUUUUUUGCCCCACCGCUGCACACCCAAUUCCCUACCCUUCUAACCAGUUGCGACUUUGAUAUCGCAGCUCUGAUCUCGCAUCUUCGACUCUGCAAAUCUUCUCUAAAGCCUCAUCGACAUCCUCGCCAUGAACUGCAUCAAAAUCUUCAUAUAGCUAAAACCAAU
This 439-nucleotide long non-coding RNA is filed under the name Glycine max (soybean). RNAcentral describes it as "long non-coding RNA (GMAX_LNC002841)". The record is from RNAcentral. Lineage: Eukaryota; Viridiplantae; Streptophyta; Magnoliopsida; Fabales; Fabaceae.